Molecule: unclassified non-coding RNA, 147 nt
Filed under: uncultured Coniochaetales
Lineage: Eukaryota; Fungi; Ascomycota; Sordariomycetes; Coniochaetales
Description: sequence contains ITS2
Source: RNAcentral
CAACCCUCAAGCUCUGCUUGGUAUUGGAUGUCACCAUUUUAAUUGGUGCAUCUUAAAAUCAGUGGCGAUGCCACUUGGCUUCUAGCGUAGUAAUACUUUUCGCUAUGGAGUUUAGGUGUGUGCUUGCCAUCAACCCCUAACUUUACA